UAAUCCCUCAAGGAACACGUUGCUUCGCGGGAGGACAACCGGUGCACCUCAUAAUUCCGCGGAAAACGACAAACAAGCCGCUUCAACCACAGGCAAGGUGCGGGUGAAAGAGACAUUUUCAGAAGACCUUCGGAUCAGAGAAAUACAACCCAGAAGCUCUGUGUCAACAUCAGGUGCAGCAAUUUAUCCUCAAGUAAAUCAACCAGAUGGGAUGGCCCUGUAAAUUAUAGUAUUAGUUACAUGAUGGCCAAAACAUACAGCUACAGAAUAAUGGAAGUGAUUGUGCAGUCCCCAGGAGUGGCAGAAUUUAAAGAAAGAUGGCCUCCCCUCUUCGAACCAUUCAAGAUCAGUGAGGAGUUUCGUAGGUGCACUGCAGUUCCACUACAGUCAACAUUGAUGUCCCAGCUGGACAGUCCAAAGCUCCUGCAGCUGUUCGAUGCAACGUCAGAGGGUCAGCACAUCAAGAACAUGCUGAUGGAACUGAUACAGGGAACAAGAGAGACAAAUAUACACGAGGAACUGAAAACUCAAAGGUUGAGAAUCUACACUUGCCAGGAGCAAGAUGCUGCUGGUAUUCUCAUCGAGGAUGUCCCAGUGCUUCCUGGUCUUGAAACUCCAGCAAGAGUAUGCUGCCUACUCCUCAGAUUAGCAUAUGCCCUAAAUCUGGAAUAUACACCCAAACUCUCAGACAUUUGAGGUCUUCUAAAGGUUUUACUAGACUUUCUGCAGCCAAAACCAACCGCAGCUUCUUGCCUAAGCUGGUCCACCAUGAACAGUUUUAGCUCCUGUUCAACAACGUCGUACCUGGGUUUCAAAGACAGCUGUGGAGCUUAAUGGAGAGCACCCACCAACAAGUCAAUUGUUCUUUUGUUAAUUGUCCUUGUAGACAGGUGUAGGUGGAGUUUAUGAGGAAUGUUUUCACUGUGAAGAUUUUAUCAGCUGCAGGUCAGAAUUUGUAUUCUGUAAAUUGUUGAAGUGUUCGAAUAUGAAUCUUAAAAAUCAAAAACUUUGUUUGUUAUCAUACCCUUGGGCAUAUGUGCAUAUGCUAAAACACUGUUCUGUUCAGCACUUGAAGAUCAGGUCACAGUUUACUUUGAUCUGUUUUAGUUUUUAAAACGGAAAUUGUAUUUAAACAGCUAAGAACUGUGAAGUUGAAGAAAAUGCUUUUGAUUAAUAAA
Molecule: long non-coding RNA, 1178 nt
Organism: Acanthochromis polyacanthus (spiny chromis)
Lineage: Eukaryota; Metazoa; Chordata; Actinopteri; Pomacentridae
Exons: 5
Source: RefSeq, a predicted model, not a curated record